RNAcentral lists this long non-coding RNA (678 nucleotides) under Marmota monax (woodchuck). The record is from RNAcentral. Lineage: Eukaryota; Metazoa; Chordata; Mammalia; Rodentia; Sciuridae.
UCAGUAAAUCACAACUUUCAUGUUUUCCUGGAAUACGAUAAGGAUCUAAGUGUUAGGUGGAAAAAAAGAGAUGUUUGGUGGCUUCUUUAAAAGUGUGGUGAAAAGUGCUGAUGAAGUUCUUUUUCCUGCAGUUAAGGAGGUGGAUGACUUCUUGGAGCAAGAGAACUUUCUUAUUUACUAUUCCCACAGGAUCAAGGAUUCCUGUACUAAAGCAGACAGAAUGACCAGAUCUCAUACAAAUGUUGCUGAUGAUUAUAUUCACACUGCAGCCAGCUUGCAUAGCCUGGCUUUAGGUAAACCCACAAUCAUCAAAAAAUACCUAUUGAAGUUGCUGAACAAUUUGAACACCUUAGGAAAGUAGAGGGUGGAGUCUCAUCAGAUGAAGAUUUAAAGUUGACAGAGCUUCUCCAAUAUUACAUGCUUAUAGAGGCUGUGAAGGGUCUCUUUUACAGAGGCACCAAAGGUUUCAUCGACUAUGAGAACUCAAACAAAGCUCUGGAUAAGGCCCAGUUAAAAAGCAAAGAUGUCAAGUUGAAUGAGGAACACCAGCAGAAUUGCUAUGAGAAAUUAGAACAGCUUUCUGAAUCUGCAAAAGAAGAGCUUAUAAAUUUCAAACAGAAGACAGUGGCAGCAUUUAGAAAGAACCUAAUUGAGGUGUCUGAACUGAAAAUAAAGCAU